Non-coding RNA from Oryza meridionalis, 202 nucleotides. The record is from Rfam. Lineage: Eukaryota; Viridiplantae; Streptophyta; Magnoliopsida; Poales; Poaceae.
AUUAAGCACAGUUGUGAGUUUCAGUGCACAACGUUUAACCGUCCGUCUUGUUUGAAAUUCUUUUAUAAUUAGUUUUUUUUAUUAUUAAAUGAUAAAACAUGAAUAUUACUUUAUCUGUGACUUAAUUUUUAAAUAAUUUAUAUUUUUUUAAAUAAGAUUACUGGUCAAAUGUUAGACACGAAAAUUUAUAAUUACACUCAAA